GACGAACGCUGGCGGCGUGCUUAACACAUGCAAGUCGAACGGAAAGGCCCUGCUUUUGUGGGGUGCUCGAGUGGCGAACGGGUGAGUAACACGUGAGUAACCUGCCCUUGACUUUGGGAUAACUUCAGGAAACUGGGGCUAAUACCGGAUAGGAGCUCCUGCUGCAUGGUGGGGGUUGGAAAGUUUCGGCGGUUGGGGAUGGACUCGCGGCUUAUCAGCUUGUUGGUGGGGUAGUGGCUUACCAAGGCUUUGACGGGUAGCCGGCCUGAGAGGGUGACCGGCGACAUUGGGACUGAGAUACGGCCCAGACUCCUACGGGAGGCAGCAGUGGGGAAUAUUGCACAAUGGGCGGAAGCCUGAUGCAGCAACGCAGCGUGCGGGAUGACGGCCUUCGGGUUGUAAACCGCUUUCGCCUGUGACGAAGCGUGAGUGACGGUAAUGGGUAAAGAAGCACCGGCUAACUACGUG
Molecule: ribosomal RNA, 468 nt
Filed under: uncultured bacterium
Lineage: Bacteria
Description: partial 16S ribosomal RNA
Rfam family: Bacterial small subunit ribosomal RNA
Source: RNAcentral